Molecule: ribosomal RNA, 479 nt
Filed under: uncultured bacterium
Lineage: Bacteria
Description: bacterial SSU rRNA
Rfam family: Bacterial small subunit ribosomal RNA
Source: RNAcentral
CGCUGGCGGCAUGCCUUACACAUGCAAGGUCGAACGGCAGCACGGGAGCAAUCCUGGUGGCGAGUGGCGAACGGGUGAGUAAUAUAUCGGAACGUGCCCAGUCGUGGGGGAUAACGUAGCGAAAGCUACGCUAAUACCGCAUACGAUCUAUGGAUGAAAGCGGGGGAUCGCAAGACCUCGCGCGAUUGGAGCGGCCGAUAUCAGAUUAGGUAGUUGGUGAGGUAAAGGCUCACCAAGCCGACGAUCUGUAGCUGGUCUGAGAGGACGACCAGCCACACUGGGACUGAGACACGGCCCAGACUCCUACGGGAGGCAGCAGUGGGGAAUUUUGGACAAUGGGCGCAAGCCUGAUCCAGCAAUGCCGCGUGCAGGAUGAAGGCCUUCGGGUUGUAAACUGCUUUUGUACGGAACGAAACGGUGAGCUCUAAUACAGUUUGCUAAUGACGGUACCGUAAGAAUAAGCACCGGCUAACUACGUG